This 526-nucleotide unclassified non-coding RNA is filed under the name Hevea brasiliensis (rubber tree). The record is from RNAcentral. Lineage: Eukaryota; Viridiplantae; Streptophyta; Magnoliopsida; Malpighiales; Euphorbiaceae.
GGAAAAUCACUAUCCUGGAUUAUCCCCUUAUCGGCUGGAGUGAUUUUGGUAAUCCUAAGCCUAGUGGUCUGGAUUAGAAGAAGGAAGAUAGCUUCAGAGAAAAAGAAAGGAUGCUUUGGGCGCAAUGGCAAUUACAAGAUGGAUUACCUCAAUGGAAACCUCAGCGAAGAAUAUGAGUUACCACUGUUUGACUUAUCUACAAUAGCUAAAUCUACAAACAACUUUUCAGGGACGAGCAAAAUUGGAGAGGGUGGAUAUGGACCUGUUUACAAGGGCGUGCUUGAACACGGACAGGAAAUAGCUGUGAAGCGGCUGUCCAGGACUUCCACACAAGGACAAGAUGAGUUCAUGAAUGAAGUGAUGUAUAUUGUGAAACUUCAGCAUAGAAAUCUUGUGAAGAUUCUCGGAUGUUGCAUCGAAGGAGAAGAAAGAAUGUUGAUCUAUGAGUACAUGCCAAGUGGAAGUCUUGAUUCAUUUAUAUUUGAUGACACACGAAGCACGGUAUUAGACUGGUCUAAGCGCUUUC